UUACAUCAGCAGUCAUCCAAGUGAUGGAGUGUGGAUGCCACCAGUCCCAAGGUGGCCAUUUGGACAUCCUCCAAAACCUAGUGGCUAAUACACGAAUGAAACAGUCUGCCACAUCAAGCUGGCCUUGGUCAAAGGUCACUGUGGUGGAUUGCUACCAGCUGACUUCAAGACCUGCGCCCGCAAGGGCAGUGUGUCUCAGCUGACUCAGGCUGGUCCAACUGGACACAGCACUGGCUAGUAGAGUGGCUCAACCACUGCUUGCCUGAUCACUCGAACUUCUGACCUAUCAGCUCUGACUGUGGUGUAGUGGACCACAGUGGCCGUGACGGGUAACGGAGAAUUUGGGUUCGACUCCGGAGAGGCAGCCUGAGAGACGGCUACCACUACCAAGGUGGGCAGCAGGCGCGCAAAUUGCCCAAUACCAAAGCUCAAGGUGAGGCAGCGACGAACUGCAGCAAUUCUGCUGGUAUCACUACCAGCUGAACUUGUAAUGGAUGCUAUCCAAACACAGUGAUGAGUAGCCACUGGAGGGCAAGUCUGGUGCCAGCAGCUGCGGUAAUUCCAGCUCCAAGGGCGUAUACUAACAUUGCUGCGGUUAAAACACUUGUAGUCUGCCACUGGGUUGCAGGUCUGGCAGGUGGCCAGCUGGGUCUUGCAGGGUGUGGUGUUGCACUUCGGGUGCAGCCAUGUCUUGCUUGGUCCACUGGAUACAACCCCUGUCAGUAUGUCCCUGCACCCACUUCCAAUGAUGGUGAGAUCAGCUCCUGCCCAAAGUCUCCUUCACUGGAGGCCUGAAGCGGCAAUGCAACCGCAAGCUUGCGUGGAGAUCAGGGCCAACUACCAUGUGUGUUGUCCAAGCCCCUCCGCCACCGGAGUCCACCAUCACUGACACCCUGGAAAACUCAGUGUGCUCAAAGCAUCCAGCUUGGCUGAAUGCCUGUCCAUGGAAUGUCAAAGCAUCGACCGAACCUGGCAAUGGAGUUGUGCAGGCCUUGGAGCCGGUUCAGGAGAAUGUGGUGCUGCACCCUGGCUUGGGACAGACCAGCCUUCGGGCUUGGACCCUGGACCAGCCUGGUGUUGCAGUUACCUACCGAAGAUGAUGGGACUGCUCAGGGUGGAAGGUAUUGGAGCGCCAGAGGUGAAAUUCUUAGACCGCUGCAAGACCAACUGCAGCGAAGGCGUUCUGCAAGGGCAUGUUCGUCGAUCAAGAAUGAAAGCGUGGGGAGCGAAGAUGAUCAGACACCAUCGUAGUCCACUGCUGUAAACUAUGCCAGCUUGGUCUUGGUGAGGCAAUACUCUUGACCUCAUCAGUGCCAUACCCCCUGCAACGAGAAAUCCAAGCCUGUGGGUUCCGGGGGGAGUACGGUCGCAAGGCUGAAACUUAAAGGAAUUGACGGAAUGGCACCACAAGGCGUGGAGUAUGCGGCUUAAUUUGACUCAACACGGGGAAUGUUACCAGGUCAGGACAUUGUCAGGAUGGACAGACUGCUAGCUCUUGCUUGAUCCAGUGGAUGGUGGUGCAUGGCCGCUCNUGAUUGGUGGAGUGAUUUGUCUGGUUGAUUCCGAUAANGAGUGAGAUNUCUGCCUUCCACUAGCCCCUGUCUCGCAUCUGGUAGGGUGGACCCUUGGGAUACCUGGGCUGGUGGCUUGCCACUUGGUUCAGGUCCCUUGUGGUUCCCCGAGAGUGCAGGGUUGCUUCUCUGAGGUGCUGCGUACACUGCCAAGUGCGCGCAUGCUAGAGCCAACAGCAGGUCUGUGAUGCUCCUAGAUGUCCUGGGCCGCACGCGCACUACAUUGACACAGUGAAGGUGUGAUACUCCUCUUGGAGUCCUGCUCAGAAGUGUGUGGGAAACCCUGCAAGCCUGUGCUGUACUGGGGAUAGAUGAUUGCAACUGUCUGCCUUGAACGAGGAAUGCCUAGUAUGCGUGAGUCAUCAGCUCACACAGAA
Molecule: ribosomal RNA, 1948 nt
Filed under: Strombomonas triquetra
Lineage: Eukaryota; Euglenozoa; Euglenophyceae; Euglenales; Euglenaceae
Description: SSU rRNA
Rfam family: Eukaryotic small subunit ribosomal RNA
Source: RNAcentral